This 454-nucleotide ribosomal RNA is filed under the name uncultured organism. Its description in RNAcentral is "partial 16S ribosomal RNA". It matches the Rfam family "Bacterial small subunit ribosomal RNA", at positions 330 to 800 of the family's 1533-position model. The record is from RNAcentral.
CGUACACUCCUGCGGGAGGCAGCAGUGGGGAAUAUUGGACAAUGGGCGCAAGCCUGAUCCAGCCAUGCCGCGUGAGUGAUGAAGGCCCUAGGGUUGUAAAGCUCUUUCACCGGUGAAGAUAAUGACGGUAACCGGAGAAGAAGCCCCGGCUAACUUCGUGCCAGCAGCCGCGGUAAUACGAAGGGGGCUAGCGUUGUUCGGAUUUACUGGGCGUAAAGCGCACGUAGGCGGACUAUUAAGUCAGGGGUGAAAUCCCGGGGCUCAACCCCGGAACUGCCUUUGAUACUGGUAGUCUUGAGUGCGAGAGAGGUGAGUGGAAUUCCGAGUGUAGAGGUGAAAUUCGUAGAUAUUCGGAGGAACACCAGUGGCGAAGGCGGCUCACUGGCUCGAUACUGACGCUGAGGUGCGAAAGCGUGGGGAGCAAACAGGAUUAGAUACCCGAGUAGUCCCAUGA